ACUCCUACGGGAGGCAGCAGUGGGGAAUAUUGCACAAUGGGCGAAAGCCUGAUGCAGCCAUGCCGCGUGUGUGAAGAAGGCCUUCGGGUUGUAAAGCACUUUCAGCGAGGAGGAAAGGUUGUAGUUUAAUAAACUGCAGCUGUGACGUUACUCGCAGAAGAAGCACCGGCUAACUUC
RNAcentral lists this ribosomal RNA (177 nucleotides) under uncultured Gammaproteobacteria bacterium. RNAcentral describes it as "partial 16S ribosomal RNA". It matches the Rfam family "Bacterial small subunit ribosomal RNA", at positions 335 to 504 of the family's 1533-position model. The record is from RNAcentral. Lineage: Bacteria; Pseudomonadati; Pseudomonadota; Gammaproteobacteria.